UGGAAUGUGUGGUAGCAAUGCAUCAAGC
RNAcentral lists this non-coding RNA (28 nucleotides) under Cricetulus griseus (Chinese hamster). The record is from RNAcentral. Lineage: Eukaryota; Metazoa; Chordata; Mammalia; Rodentia; Cricetidae. RNAcentral also lists the same sequence under 1 other name.